This 187-nucleotide long non-coding RNA is filed under the name Sus scrofa (pig). Its description in RNAcentral is "Nuclear RNase P (ENSSSCG00070010659.1)". It matches the Rfam family "Nuclear RNase P", at positions 1 to 244 of the family's 301-position model. Rfam says of the family: Ribonuclease P (RNase P) is a ubiquitous endoribonuclease, found in archaea, bacteria and eukarya as well as chloroplasts and mitochondria. Its best characterised activity is the generation of mature 5'-ends of tRNAs by cleaving the 5'-leader elements of precursor-tRNAs. The record is from RNAcentral. Lineage: Eukaryota; Metazoa; Chordata; Mammalia; Artiodactyla; Suidae.
GCAGAGGGAAGCUCAUGGGUGGGUUUGGUCAUGCUACCCCAUGUCCCCUGCGGAGGUCUGAGACUAGGGCCAAAAGUCACCCUAAGGGGCCAUCUUUGAGCUUUAGGGAGAUGAGUUUCCAAAGGGAAAAAAAAGUUCAAGGUUUCCUAAACAGGGUUCCUCUCCGUGAACACAACUCACCAAGUGC